RNAcentral lists this ribosomal RNA (1343 nucleotides) under uncultured bacterium. RNAcentral describes it as "16S ribosomal RNA". It matches the Rfam family "Bacterial small subunit ribosomal RNA", at positions 28 to 1378 of the family's 1533-position model. The record is from RNAcentral.
GACGAACGCUGGCGGCGUGCUUAACACAUGCAUUUCGAACGGAAAGGCCCUGCUUUUGUGGGGUGCUCGAGUGGCGAACGGGUGAGUAACACGUGAGUAACCUGCCCUUGACUUUGGGAUAACUUCAGGAAACUGGGGCUAAUACCGGAUAGGAGCUCCUGCUGCAUGGUGGGGGUUGGAAAGUUUCGGCGGUUGGGGAUGGACUCGCGGCUUAUCAGCUUGUUGGUGGGGUAGUGGCUUACCAAGGCUUUGACGGGUAGCCGGCCUGAGAGGGUGACCGGCCACAUUGGGACUGAGAUACGGCCCAGACUCCUACGGGAGGCAGCAGUGGGGAAUAUUGCACAAUGGGCGGAAGCCUGAUGCAGCAACGCCGCGUGCGGGAUGACGGCCUUCGGGUUGUAAACCGCUUCCGCCUGUGACGAAGCGUGAGUGACGGUAAUGGGUAAAGAAGCACCGGCUAACUACGUGCCAGCAGCCGCGGUGAUACGUAGGGUGCGAGCGUUGUCCGGAUUUAUUGGGCGUAAAGGGCUCGUAGGUGGUUGAUCGCGUCGGAAGUGUAAUCUUGGGGCUUAACCCUGAGCGUGCUUUCGAUACGGGUUGACUUGAGGAAGGUAGGGGAGAAUGGAAUUCCUGGUGGAGCGGUGGAAUGCGCAGAUAUCAGGAGGAACACCAGUGGCGAAGGCGGUUCUCUGGGCCUUUCCUGACGCUGAGGAGCGAAAGCGUGGGGAGCGAACAGGCUUAGAUACCCUGGUAGUCCACGCUGUAAACGGUGGGUACUAGGUGUGGGGUCCAUUCCACGGGUUCCGUGCCGUAGCUAACGCUUUAAGUACCCCGCCUGGGGAGUACGGCCGCAAGGCUAAAACUCAAAGGAAUUGACGGGGCCCCGCACAAGCGGCGGAGCAUGCGGAUUAAUUCGAUGCAACGCGUAGAACCUUACCUGGGUUUGACAUGGAUCGGGAGUGCUCAGAGAUGGGUGUGCCUCUUUUGGGGUCGGUUCACAGGUGGUGCAUGGCUGUCGUCAGCUCGUGUCGUGGGAUGUUGGGUUAAGUCCCGCAACGAGCGCAACCCUUGUUCACUGUUGCCAGCACGUUAUGGUGGGGACUCAGUGGAGACCGCCGGGGUCAACUCGGAGGAAGGUGGGGAUGACGUCAAGUCAUCAUGCCCCUUAUGUCCAGGGCUUCACGCAUGCUACAAUGGCUGGUACAGAGAGUGGCGAGCCUGUGAGGGUGAGCGAAUCUCGGAAAGCCGGUCUCAGUUCGGAUUGGGGUCUGCAACUCGACCCCAUGAAGUCGGAGUCGCUAGUAAUCGCAGAUCAGCAACGCUGCGGUGAAUACGUUCCCGGG